This 746-nucleotide long non-coding RNA is filed under the name Capra hircus (goat). Its description in RNAcentral is "lncRNA (ENSCHIG00000002161.1)". Lineage: Eukaryota; Metazoa; Chordata; Mammalia; Artiodactyla; Bovidae. The record is from RNAcentral.
AAAUGGCACCUAUGGGAGGGAGAUCGGCUCUCUUGUGGGCCCUGGAUUGUUGCUGCACACAGAGGACCCUGACAAAAGGAAACUAGCUAGAUUCAGCUGCUUUAAUUUUUAAAGAAAAAAAGGAGAAUGCUUGAUUUGAACAAGCAGCUCUGUAGCCCCCCCUUAAAUCCUUGUGCUUAUUUUGUACAGUUGGUUUCCAAGGAUCUGCGGUAAAAAUUUGAUCCCGGUGAGGGAAGUGAUGUCAUGUGAGCUGAAAAAGACUUAGAUUAAGACAUCAUUUUAAGACUGGAAAAGAAAUGGAGGCGGGAAGAAGGAGAGGAUGUGGCUUAGCGGUGAGGAGAGAAGAGGAUGUGUUAGGGGAGGGGCAUGUGACAUGUGAGGUCCCAGGAGACAGGAGGUCUGCUUGCGGAGGGAAGGGAAGGCUGUUUGUGCAGAGAGCAGGGCGGGGAAACCACUGUGGGGAACGGGGCAAUUACCACUCUGGGCAGAGGACUGCUGCAGCCAGGAAACCUGAGCUGAGAGCCACAGAGGCGCUGGUUUCAUUGUUGGUUUUAAUAGCUGGUGCACGGCUGUGCCCAUCUAAGGAUGCUGAAGUAUGUGGAAGAAAUAGUAUUCGGCCAGCUGAUAUUUCACCCUACCUCAGGCCACUGAACUCCCUUGCCUGGCCUCCUGCAAGGUCAGCUUGGUGUUUUCAUUGCCUUUGCAGGGCUAGAACUUUUACUUCACCACAGCUACAAAAGAUCUAA